RNAcentral lists this long non-coding RNA (1347 nucleotides) under Marmota monax (woodchuck). The record is from RNAcentral. Lineage: Eukaryota; Metazoa; Chordata; Mammalia; Rodentia; Sciuridae.
GUGGCCCCAAACUCAAGGAAACUGAGGCUCUGCAUGUCUAAGCAGCUUUGCCUGCAGAGAGUCUUCUCGCAGGUGACAGAGCCAAGAUUCCAACAGAUCUCCCUCCCAAGUCUCUGGGUGUUGUUUCUGGGGCUUUUGCACCACAGAUUCUAGAUAGCAAAGCACACCAAGAACUUUGCUGGAAGAUAUUAAACCAUGACUCCAAGCCUGUAACUAUAAUAACUGUGAUAAGAAUGUUCUCUCACAUCACAGCUCACUCAUUACAGGGGAACUAUAGAUGCUCCCUCUCUUCAGAUGACAAUAUGGGGCCUGGAGUGUUAGGGCGGUGUCUAAAACCUAAGGUGGCUGUGCUGGGACCUGCUCCAUGACUGCUGGCCCCCAGAUCUGGACUCUCUUAAUCACUGUAUCACACACACUUACUUCAGUUAAACAAAGCUAUUUAUUUAUAUUGAGGUGCAUUUAAAAAGCAUACAAUUUAUAGUAUUAAGGUGUACUACCAGGAGCUUCUAGUACACUUGUGAUGUUGUGCAGCUGCCAUGUCAGACAUUCCCACAGCCUCAAGAGGAAGCCUCUGCCGGGUUCCCCAUCACUCCCACCUCCCCUCCUCCAGACCCCCACAAUCCCUGAUGGCUUUCUGGCUCUAGAGGUUUGUCUCUUCUGGACAUUUUGUGUAAGUGGAAUCACAUCCUAGGGGGUCUCCUGUGUCUGGAUUCUUCCCUCUGAUGUUUACGAGGCUCAUCAUGUUGGAGCAGGUCCCUUUAAUGCUGAAGGAUAUUUCACCACUGGACGGGCCACAUUUUGUGUAUCCAUUCAUCAGUGGGUGUUUGGGCUUUUUGGCUAUUGUGAAUAAUGUUGCUCUGAAUUUUGGUGGUGAACUUUGUUUUUCUUUAUUUAGGGCUCAUGUUCAGGAGUGGAUCUGUCGGCCACUGGAUCACACACUCUCUUUUACUUUUCCUUCCUUUUACUUCAAAAUAUGAAGCUCCCGUGUUGGACGAAUUCUAUUCCUGAAAUUUUAGUCCAAAUAGUAUUACGCAAACUUCCUUACUGCCGAGUUCCCAAUGCUGGGAACACUGGCUAAAUCUGAAUAAAUAUAUUUUGAAUAAAUGAACGGAAAAUAUUUAUUGAGGCAACUCUCUCUCUCUCUCUUUUUUUUUUUGAGAUGGAGGGAGGUCUCAUCAUGUUACCCAGGCUGGCUUUAAGCCCCUGCUUCUCCAUAACUAGGACUACUGGUGCACACUACUACACUCAGCUCCAGCAACGGACAAGACACCAAUGGUGUCAGUCAUGAAGCUGUGUCUUCUUUAUUAUCACCUUUNCCCAGCCACAAGCAGAGGCUGCCUUCAGUGU